CUCGUGUGUCGAUGAAGAGCGCAGCCAACUGUGUGAAUUAAUGUGAACUGCAUACUGCUUUGAACAUCGACAUCUUGAACGCAUAUUGCGGCCACGGGUUAGCCCGUGGCCACGCCUGUCCGAGGGUCGGCUUAUAAACUAUCACGACGCCCUACAAGUCGUGGCUUGGAUUUUGCCAGCUGGCAUGAUUUCCCUAUACUUGGCUGUAUUGCUGGGUUCGGGUGCCAGAUCUAUGGCGUUUUCCUAAUGUAUCCGGGCACAUCUGCAUCUUUGUAUUGAAAGGAUGAGGACGUGGCGACGGAGUCGUGGCUCAGUUGUAUAUAACACGCUCCGAAUCGUAGUGGUCCAAUUCCUAUGAUGUGAUGUUGUCUGUUACUGAGUGUAGCCCAUUGGGUGCAUUCUAUUCCUGACCUCGGAUCAGACGUGAGUACCCGCUGAACUUAAGCCUAUCACUAAGC
RNAcentral lists this ribosomal RNA (458 nucleotides) under Bunodera luciopercae. RNAcentral's name for it is "eukaryotic LSU rRNA". The stretch from base 1 to 129 matches the Rfam family "5.8S ribosomal RNA", at positions 25 to 154 of the family's 154-position model. The record is from RNAcentral. Lineage: Eukaryota; Metazoa; Platyhelminthes; Trematoda; Plagiorchiida; Allocreadiidae.